This 636-nucleotide ribosomal RNA is filed under the name Cortinarius fulvescens. Its description in RNAcentral is "eukaryotic LSU rRNA". It matches the Rfam family "Eukaryotic large subunit ribosomal RNA", at positions 1 to 618 of the family's 3401-position model. The record is from RNAcentral. Lineage: Eukaryota; Fungi; Basidiomycota; Agaricomycetes; Agaricales; Cortinariaceae.
GACCUCAAAUCAGGUAGGACUACCCGCUGAACUUAAGCAUAUCAAUAAGCGGAGGAAAAGAAACUAACAAGGAUUCCCCUAGUAACUGCGAGUGAAGCGGGAAAAGCUCAAAUUUAAAAUCUGGCGGUCUUUUGGCUGUCUGAGUUGUAAUCUAGAGAAGUGUUAUCCGCGCUGGACCGUGUACAAGUCUCCUGGAAUGGAGCAUCAUAGAGGGUGAGAAUCCCGUCUUUGACAUGGACUGCCAGGGCUUUGUGAUGCGCUCUCAAAGAGUCGAGUUGUUUGGGAAUGCAGCUCAAAAUGGGUGGUAAAUUCCAUCUAAAGCUAAAUAUUGGCGAGAGACCGAUAGCGAACAAGUACCGUGAGGGAAAGAUGAAAAGAACUUUGGAAAGAGAGUUAAACAGUACGUGAAAUUGCUGAAAGGGAAACGCUUGAAGUCAGUUAUGUUGUCCAGGGAUCAACCUUGCUUUUGCUUGGUGCACUUUCUGGUUUGACAGGUCAGCAUCAAUUUUGACUAUUGGAAAAAGGCUUUGGGAAUGUGGCAUCUUUGGAUGUGUUAUAGCCCUUGGUCAUAUACAAUGGUUGGGAUUGAGGAACUCAGCAYGCCGCAAGGCCGGGUUUAACCACGUACGUGCUAGA